This 704-nucleotide ribosomal RNA is filed under the name uncultured Bradyrhizobium sp. RNAcentral describes it as "bacterial SSU rRNA". It matches the Rfam family "Bacterial small subunit ribosomal RNA", at positions 28 to 776 of the family's 1533-position model. The record is from RNAcentral. Lineage: Bacteria; Pseudomonadati; Pseudomonadota; Alphaproteobacteria; Hyphomicrobiales; Nitrobacteraceae.
AGCGAACGCUGGCGGCAGGCUUAACACAUGCAAGUCGAGCGGGCAUAGCAAUAUGUCAGCGGCAGACGGGUGAGUAACGCGUGAGAACGUACCUUCUGGUUCGGAACAACACAGGGAAACUUGUGCUAAUACCGGAUAAGCCCUUACGGGGAAAGAUUUAUCGCCGAAAGAUCGGCCCGCGUCUGAUUAGCUAGUUGGUGAGGUAAUGGCUCACCAAGGCGACGAUCAGUAGCUGGUCUGAGAGGAUGAUCACCCACAUUGGGAGUGAGACACGGCCCAAACUCUUACGGGAGGCAGCAGUGUGGAAUAUUGGACAAUGGGCGCAAGCCUGAUCCAGCCAUGCUGCUUGAGUUAUGAAGGCCCUAGGGUUGUAAAGCUGUUUUGUGCGGGAAGAUAAUGACGGUACCGCAAGAAUAAGCCCCGGCUAACUUCGUGCCAGCAGCCGCGGUAAUACGAAGGGGGCUAGCGUUGUUCGGAAUCACUGGGCGUAAAGGGUGCGUAGGCGGGUCUUUAAGUCAGGGGUGAAAUCCUGGAGCUCAACUCCAGAACUGCCUUUGAUACUGAAGAUCUUGAGUUCGGGAGAGGUGAGUGGAACUGCGAGUGUAGAGGUGAAAUUCGUAGAUAUUCGCAAGAACACCAGUGGCGAAGGCGGCUCACUGGCCCGUUACUGACGCUGAGGCUCGAAAGCGUGGGGAGCAAACAGG